UACGAAGGGGGCUAGCGUUGCUCGGAAUCACUGGGCGUAAAGCGCACGUAGGCGGAUUUCUAAGUCCGGGGUGAAAUCCUGGAGCUCAACUCCAGAACUGCCUUUGAUACUGGGAAUCUAGAGUCCGGGAGAGGUGAGUGGAACUGCGAGUGUAGAGGUGAAAUUCGUAGAUAUUCGCAAGAACACCAGUGGCGAAGGCGGCUCACUGGCCCGGUACUGACGCUGAGGUGCGAAAGCGUGGGGAGCAAACAGG
This 253-nucleotide ribosomal RNA is filed under the name uncultured bacterium. RNAcentral describes it as "partial 16S ribosomal RNA". It matches the Rfam family "Bacterial small subunit ribosomal RNA", at positions 524 to 776 of the family's 1533-position model. The record is from RNAcentral.